AGUGAACGCUGGCGGUAGGCCUAACACAUGCAAGUCGAACGGCAGCACAGUAAGAGCUUGCUCUUACGGGUGGCGAGUGGCGGACGGGUGAGGAAUACAUCGGAAUCUACUUUUUCGUGGGGGAUAACGUAGGGAAACUUACGCUAAUACCGCAUACGACCUACGGGUGAAAGCAGGGGAUCUUCGGACCUUGCGCGAUUGAAUGAGCCGAUGUCGGAUUAGCUAGUUGGCGGGGUAAAGGCCCACCAAGGCGACGAUCCGUAGCUGGUCUGAGAGGAUGAUCAGCCACACUGGAGCUGAGACACGGUCCAGACUCCUACGGGAGGCAGCAGUGGGGAAUAUUGGACAAUGUGCGCAAGCCUGAUCCAGCCAUACCGCGUGGGUGAAGAAGGCCUGCGGGUUGUAAAGCCCUUUUGUUGGGAAAGAAAAGCAGCAGGUUAAUACCCCGCUGUUCUGACGGUACCCAAAGAAUAAGCACCGGCUAACUUCGU
Molecule: ribosomal RNA, 491 nt
Filed under: uncultured bacterium
Lineage: Bacteria
Description: partial 16S ribosomal RNA
Rfam family: Bacterial small subunit ribosomal RNA
Source: RNAcentral